This 751-nucleotide ribosomal RNA is filed under the name uncultured Candidatus Cardinium sp. Its description in RNAcentral is "bacterial SSU rRNA". It matches the Rfam family "Bacterial small subunit ribosomal RNA", at positions 651 to 1406 of the family's 1533-position model. Lineage: Bacteria; Pseudomonadati; Bacteroidota; Cytophagia; Cytophagales; Amoebophilaceae. The record is from RNAcentral.
GAAGAGGUAAGCAGAAUUUAUGGUGUAGUAGUGAAAUGCUUAGAUAUCAUAAGGAAUACCAAUAGCGUAGGCAGCUUACUGGUCUUUAACUGACGCUGAGGCACGAAGGCGUGGGGAGCAAACAGGAUUAGAUACCCUGGUAGUCCACGCCGUAAACGAUGAUCACUCGAUAUACAUGAUACAUCAUGUGUGUCUAAGCGAAAGCGUUAAGUGACCCACCUGGGGAGUAUACUCGCAAGGGUGAAACUCAAAGGAAUCGACGGGGGUCCGCACAAGCGGUGGAGUAUGUGGUUUAAUUCGAUAAUACGCGAGGAACCUUACCUGGGCUAGAAUGUGUUUUGCUACCUUGAGAAAUUGAGGGUUCCUUCGGGACGGAAUACAAGGUGCUGCAUGGCUGUCGUCAGCUCGUGCCAUGAGGUGUUGGGUUAAGUCCUAUAACGAGCGAAACCCUUUUACUUAAUUGCCAGCACGUAAUGGUGGGGACUUUAAGUAGACUGCCCGUGUAAGCGGGAGGAAGGAGAGGACGAGGUCAAGUCAUCAUGGCCUUUAUGCCCAGGGCUACACACGUACUACAAUGGCAUGUACAAAGGGAAGCUACUUGGCAACAAGAUGCAAAUCUCAAAAGCAUGUCUCAGUUCGGAUUGAGGUCUGCAAUUCGACCUCAUGAAGUUGGAAUCGCUAGUAAUCGCGUAUCAGCAAUGACGCGGUGAAUACGUUCUCGGACCUUGUACACACCGCCCAUCAAGCCAUG